Molecule: ribosomal RNA, 492 nt
Filed under: uncultured bacterium
Lineage: Bacteria
Description: partial 16S ribosomal RNA
Rfam family: Bacterial small subunit ribosomal RNA
Source: RNAcentral
AGUGAACGCUGGCGGUAGGCCUAACACAUGCAAGUCGAACGGCAGCACAGUAAGAGCUUGCUCUUACGGGUGGCGAGUGGCGGACGGGUGAGGAAUACAUCGGAAUCUACUUUUUCGUGGGGGAUAACGUAGGGAAACUUACGCUAAUACCGCAUACGACCUACGGGUGAAAGCAGGGGAUCUUCGGACCUUGCGCGAUUGAAUGAGCCGAUGUCGGAUUAGCUAGUUGGCGGGGUAAAGGCCCACCAAGGCGACGAUCCGUAGCUGGUCUGAGAGGAUGAUCAGCCACACUGGAACUGAGACACGGUCCAGACUCCUACGAGAGGCAGCAGUGGGGAAUAUUGGACAAUGGGCGCAAGCCUGCUCCAGCCAUACCGCGUAGGUGAAGAAGGCCUUCGGGUUGUAAAGCCCUUUUGUUGGGAAAGAAAAGCAGCAGGUUAAUACCCCGCUGUUCUGACGGUACCCAAAGAAUAAGCACCGGCUAACUUCGUG